GCCGACGGAAAGUGCAACAGAAAGUAUACCGCCUAAGCGCCUUCGGGCGCCGGUAAGGGUGAAAUGGUGCGGUAAGAGCGCACCGCAUGGCUGGUAACAGUCCAUGGCGAUGGUAAACCCCACCUGGAGCAAGACCAAAUAGGAGUCCAAUGGCGUGGCCCGCGCUGGACUCGGGUAGGUUGCUUGAGGCCUGUGGUGACGCAGGUCCUAGAUGAAUGACUGUCCUCGACAGAACCCGGCUUAUCGGCGGGCUCAAUUU
This 259-nucleotide RNase P RNA is filed under the name Oceanospirillales bacterium. RNAcentral's name for it is "partial RNase P RNA component class A". It matches the Rfam family "Bacterial RNase P class A", at positions 98 to 367 of the family's 367-position model. Rfam says of the family: Ribonuclease P (RNase P) is a ubiquitous endoribonuclease, found in archaea, bacteria and eukarya as well as chloroplasts and mitochondria. Its best characterised activity is the generation of mature 5'-ends of tRNAs by cleaving the 5'-leader elements of precursor-tRNAs. Lineage: Bacteria; Pseudomonadati; Pseudomonadota; Gammaproteobacteria; Oceanospirillales. The record is from RNAcentral.